AUGAACGCUGGCGGCGUGCCUAAUCCAUGCAAGUCGCGCGAACAGACGAGGAGCUUGCUCCUCUGACGUUAGCGGCGGACGGGUGAGUAACACGUGGAUAACCUACCUAUAAGACUGGGAUAACUUCGGGAAACCGGAGCUAAUACCGGAUAAUAUAUUGAACCGCAUGGUUCCAUAGUGAAAGACGGUUUUGCUGUCACUUAUAGAUGGAUCCGCGCCGCAUUAGCUAGUUGGUAAGGUAACGGCUUACCAAGGCAACGAUGCGUAGCCGACCUGAGAGGGUGAUCGGCCACACUGGAACUGAGACACGGUCCAGACUCCUACGGGAGGCAGCAGUAGGGAAUCUUCCGCAAUGGGCGAAAGCUUGACGGAGCAACGCCGCGUGAGUGAUGAAGGUCUUCGGAUCGUAAAACUCUGUUAUUAGGGAAGAACAAAUGUGUAAGUAACUAUGCACGUCUUGACGGUACCUAAUCAGAAAGCCACGGCUAACUACGUG
Molecule: ribosomal RNA, 496 nt
Filed under: uncultured bacterium
Lineage: Bacteria
Description: partial 16S ribosomal RNA
Rfam family: Bacterial small subunit ribosomal RNA
Source: RNAcentral